AUGAACGCUAGCGAUAGGCUUAACACCUGCAAGUCGAGGGGCAGCAUGGUCUUAGCUUGCUAAGACUGAUGGCGACCGGCGCACGGGUGCGUAACGCGUAUGCAACUUGCCUCACAGAGGGGGAUAACCCGUCGAAAGACGGACUAAUACCGCGUACACUCUAUUUUGGGCAUCCAAGGUAGAGGAAAUGAAAUUCGCUGUGAGAUAGGCAUGCGUCCCAUUAGCUAGUUGGUGAGGUAACGGCUCACCAAGGCGACGAUGGGUAGGGGAACUGAGAGGUUGAACCCCCACACUGGUACUGAGACACGGACCAGACUCCUACGGGAGGCAGCAGUGAGGAAUAUUGGUCAAUGGGCGAGAGCCUGAACCAGCCAAGUCGCGUGAAGGAUGACUGUCUUAUGGAUUGUAAACUUCUUUUGUAGGGGAAUAAAGAGGGGCACGUGUGCCCCAGUGAAUGUACCCUACGAAUAAGCAUCGGCUAACUCCGUG
RNAcentral lists this ribosomal RNA (489 nucleotides) under uncultured bacterium. RNAcentral's name for it is "partial 16S ribosomal RNA". It matches the Rfam family "Bacterial small subunit ribosomal RNA", at positions 29 to 507 of the family's 1533-position model. The record is from RNAcentral.